Oreochromis niloticus (Nile tilapia) is the source of this 499-nucleotide long non-coding RNA. RefSeq lists it as uncharacterized. Lineage: Eukaryota; Metazoa; Chordata; Actinopteri; Cichliformes; Cichlidae. The record is from RefSeq and is a predicted model, not a curated record. The transcript is spliced from 2 exons.
CAACAGUGGGAAGGAAAAACUCCCUUUUAACAGGAAGAAACCUCCGGCAGAACCAGGUUCAGGAAGGUGCGGCCAUCUGCAGCGACUGGUUGGGGUGAGAGAAGGAAGACAGGAUAACAGACAUGCAGAUCUUCUCGGUACUUCACAGCCACAAUUCAUGCUCGUGCUCCAGGAUUCUCUGGAUCAUUCUGUCUGGACUCACCACCAACAGGAUACUCACCUGGACCUCUCUGACCGUCUCCCCCACGCUGUGCUCCACCUGCUAACCAAAAAUAACUGCAGACGACAGAAAGAGGCUUGCCAAAGAAGCUAUAACAAAAGAUGCAACGUACGCCACAGAAGCCGAUGCUGCUGUGUGAAAACGAAAGACGGUCUUACUGGACAAGCGUUUGUCAGGAUCCUCUGUGUCCUCAUCCACUGUGUCGUCUGGGACGGCAUCCUCCGGGAUGGCUUGCAUCUGAACCCCUGGAGCAUGAGGCAGCAUCCGCAGGUUCUCAAA